Molecule: ribosomal RNA, 2760 nt
Filed under: Triticum aestivum (bread wheat)
Lineage: Eukaryota; Viridiplantae; Streptophyta; Magnoliopsida; Poales; Poaceae
Description: partial small subunit ribosomal RNA
Source: RNAcentral
AUGAGUCUCCAUAACGAGUGUCAACGACAACAGCUGAGCGGCUCAAACUCUGCAAGGCCACAAACAUUUUGGACCAUCUGUCCAACUUGUGGCACCAAAUAUCAGUACCACCGUGCAAUUUUAAUGAAAUUUGUCCGCUGCCAGAAUUGCUCGAAGCCCUUUAUAGCACAUGUUUCAACUGAGCAACCUGCUCCUUCUGGUCCAGAUCAACAGUUUGCUGGGGUGUGGAAAAAUGCAGGAAUAUUCUCAGAAAUUAGAUCGCUUCAGAAGUUCGAACCUGGGCAGGUCUGGGCCCUCUACAGUGACAAAGAUAAGUGUCCCAACUGCUAUGCCUUGAUACAGAAAGUUGAUUUCAAGAACAAUAAAGUACAUGCAAGAUGGCUGGAAGUUUGUCCUGAUGGGGAGGUGGAGAAAAGAUUGGUAGAAGAUCGAACUGUUGGGUGUGGAACCUAUAGGGUUUCCACCACCCGUGGUAUUAUGAUUUACACUGACACGAAACAUUUUUCUCAUCCUAUACAUGCGAUAUUCACUGGUAGAAGGAACUCUUAUGAAAUAUAUCCUAGGAAAGGUGAAGUUUGGGCCCUUCUCAAGGGAUGGGAUAUUUGUUGGAGUUCAGAUGCUCACAACCAAAAGAACUACAAGUAUCAAGUUGUUCAGGUCCUCUCUGAUUUCACAACAGGCACCAGCAUCGCUGUCAUUCCGCUUGUGAAGAUAAAAGUCUUUAUUAGCUUAUUUAUGCAGUCUAAAGAGGCUACUCCAUACCUGAUACCUCAGGAUGACACAAUAUGGUUCUCACACUGCGUCCCACAUCAUUUGAUGAGUGGAGCUGAAAGCGAAGGCAUUCCAGAAGGGGCUCUGGAACUUGAUCCCACAGCGCUUCCCCUUAACUUGGAAGAGGCUCUUGCCUGUGUUGUUCCAGAAAGCAGUUCACUGAAAGGCCCGAAGUUUGAUGCCAAAUAUGCUGGCUCAUCCAGUGGAAAUAAAUCUUACAAGGGAUGCGUGAGGAUUGGGGAGGGACAACGUGCUACAUGCACGAAUGCAGGGAUCUUUACAAAGACACCGAUGGUAGAGAACAGACAACAUGACACUCCAUUUUCUGCGGGAGGUACAGAUGUUGAUGAGCUAUCUGAUCAUAGUGUCCAAGCGAAAGUAUUAUGUCCUGAAUUUUUUAACUUUGACCAACUUAGAGGUGUAAAUCAGUUUAGAGUGAACCAGGUCUGGGCUGUCUAUGAUAGUCGAAGCUGUAUGCCAAGAUCUUAUGCUCGAAUUACAAAGGUAAAGAGGGCCCCCAAGUUUAUGGUACACUUUAUUUGGCUGGAGUUUGAUCCCACAAAUAAAGAGGAGCUGGCUUGGUCUUGUGGGGAACUGCCUGUUGCUUGUGGACAAUUUAGGCGUGGAAGGUCAGAAACAGCUCAAGAAACUUGCAUGUUCUCUCAUACUAUUUCCUGUCAGAAAAGCAAGAUGAGAAACUCUUAUGAUAUAUAUCCUAGGAAAGGUGAAGUUUGGGCCCUUUUUAAGGGAUGGGACAUUAGUUGGAGUUCAGAUGCUGGCAACCACAGAAACUGUGAUUAUGAGGUUGUUCAAGUCGUCUCUGAUUUCACAACAGGAAAUAGCAUCAUCGUCAUGCCACUUGUAAAACUAAAAGGUUUCGUCAGCUUAUUUAUGCAGUCAAAAGAGGGAAGUGCGUACCCGAUACCGCGGGAUAGCACACUGAGGUUUUCACAUUGUGUCCCUCGUCAUCUGAUGUGUGGAACUGAAAGAGAAGGCGUUCCACAAGGAAGUCUUGAACUCGAUCCUGCAGCACUUCCUCUUCAUUUGAAAGAGGCCUUUGCUUCUGUUGUCCCAGAAAAAAGUUCAGCAAAAUGCCAGGAGUUUGAUGCCAAAUGUCCUGGUUCAUCAGGUGGAAAUAACUCUGGCAAGGGAUCCAGUAGGGCUGGAGAGAAGCAACAUGCGACAUGCAUGAACACAUCGAUGUUUGCAAAGAUGCCAACAGAAGAGACCAGAGAGAAUAACACUCCAUCUGCUGUUGAAUGUACACAUGCUGGCGAGGAAUCUGAUGAUACUGUCCGAGUAGGAUAUGACUGUCCCGAUUCAGAGUUCUACGAAUUUUCAGAAACAAGACUGCUUCACAAGUUCGAACCUGGGCAGAUCUGGGCCAUCUACAGCGACAUCGAUAAGUUCCCCAAUUACUAUGCCUUCAUAGAGAAUGUUGACCUCAAGAACAACAAAGUACAAGCAAGAUGGCUUGAUGCAUGUCCCCAGGGAGAGGAGGAGAGAAGACUGGUGACAGAAGAUCGGCCUGUUGGCUGCGGAACCUUUAAGGUUUGCACUGCGCAGGGCCUUAUGACUUACACUGGUACAGAAAUAGCAGAAUGCUUUUCUCGUCUUGUGCUUGCUAGACCGACGGGCAGAAGAAACGAAUAUGAAAUCGCCCCUCGCCUUGGUGAGGUCUGGGCCGUUUACAAGGACUGGAAGGCUGGAUGGACUGCACGCGAUUUUAGCAGCUGUGACUAUGAGUUGGUGGAGAUAUUCUGCCAUACUAAUUCGUCCAUACGAGUUCGGCUGCUGAGGAAGGUUGAUGGUUACAGGGCAGUAUUUACAAGGGAGACAACUGUGGAGACCAUAGGCAAGGAUGAGUACCUGAAGUUCUCCCACCAGAUCCCUUGCUUCCAUCUGACAAACGAAGGAGGAGGCAAGCUUCGGGGCUGUUUGGAGCUCGAUCCUUAUUCCGUGCCGGAGGAGUUUCUCCUGACUGACUGA